UACGUAGGUGGCAAGCGUUGUCCGGAUUUACUGGGCGUAAAGAGCGCGCAGGCGGCCAAGUCAGUCGAAUGUGAAAGCCCCCGGCUUAGCUGGGGAGGGUCAUUCGAUACUGCUCGGCUCGAAGACAGGAGAGGGAAGCGGAAUUCCCGGUGUAGUGGUGAAAUGCGUAGAUAUCGGGAGGAACACCAGUGGCGAAGGCGGCUUUCUGGCCUGUUCUUGACGCUGAGGCGCGAAAGCUAGGGGAGCAAACGGG
RNAcentral lists this ribosomal RNA (253 nucleotides) under uncultured bacterium. Its description in RNAcentral is "partial 16S ribosomal RNA". It matches the Rfam family "Bacterial small subunit ribosomal RNA", at positions 524 to 776 of the family's 1533-position model. The record is from RNAcentral.